RNAcentral lists this ribosomal RNA (378 nucleotides) under uncultured bacterium. RNAcentral describes it as "bacterial SSU rRNA". It matches the Rfam family "Bacterial small subunit ribosomal RNA", at positions 790 to 1167 of the family's 1533-position model. The record is from RNAcentral.
GUAGUCCACGCCGUAAACGAUGUCGACUAGCCGUUGGACUCCUUGAGGGUUUAGUGGCGCAGCUAACGCGAUAAGUCGACCGCCUGGGGAGUACGGCCGCAAGGUUAAAACUCAAAUGAAUUGACGGGGGCCCGCACAAGCGGUGGAGCAUGUGGUUUAAUUCGACGCAACGCGAAGAACCUUACCUACUCUUGACAUCCAGAUGACCCUGCAGAGAUGUGGGGGUGCCUUCGGGAAAUCUGAGACAGGUGCUGCAUGGCUGUCGUCAGCUCGUGUCGUGAGAUGUUGGGUUAAGUCCCGUAACGAGCGCAACCCUUGUCCUUAGUUGCCAGCACGUAAUGGUGGGAACUCUAAGGAGACUGCCGGUGACAAACCGGA